RNAcentral lists this ribosomal RNA (622 nucleotides) under Schoenus falcatus. RNAcentral describes it as "eukaryotic LSU rRNA". The stretch from base 234 to 388 matches the Rfam family "5.8S ribosomal RNA". Lineage: Eukaryota; Viridiplantae; Streptophyta; Magnoliopsida; Poales; Cyperaceae. The record is from RNAcentral.
AAAACACGACCGUUGUGCCCGUCAUCGAGCUCUGCCGGGGAGGCGCUCGCUCUGCUCUGUCGCCCCCCCGGACCGCCGGCCCCCGGCCCUCGCGGCGAGAGUUUCUCGGGCGCGCGGGCCGCGUGCGGAAAAAAAUACGGCGCGGAUUGUCGCCAAGGAACACGAUACGCUGAGGCGGCCGGCGGAGCGCUUCGGCGCGCGGCCGGUCGUCGACGCAAAAAUAUCUACGCGAUGACUCUCGGCAACGGAUAUCUCGGCUCUCGCAUCGAUGAAGAACGUAGCGAAAUGCGAUACGUGGUGUGAAUUGCAGAAUCCCGCGAACCAUCGAGUCUUUGAACGCAAGUUGCGCCCGAGGGAUCCGCCCGAGGGCACGCCUGCCUCAUGGGCGUUAGAAGCCCAUCCACGCUCGGGAGCCUAACCAUGGCCCCGACGCGGACAGUGGCCCUCCGAGCCCUAGGGCGCGGCGGGCCCAAGUGCGCGGCCGUCGGAAGGAGCCGGAGCGGCGAGUGGUGGAUUGCUGCGCGCGCCGCCCCGCGUUCCUUUCCGGCAUACGGCUUUGUCCGACCCACGAACGAGGAGCCGCGUCGCCUUUCGGGGCCGCGGCAAAACAAUAGAACAAAAA